This 501-nucleotide unclassified non-coding RNA is filed under the name uncultured fungus. RNAcentral describes it as "sequence contains 18S rRNA gene, ITS1, 5.8S rRNA gene, ITS2, 28S rRNA gene". The record is from RNAcentral. Lineage: Eukaryota; Fungi.
AAGAGAUCGGCGCUGGGACCGGGGGAGACUUCCACCUGGAAAAUGGCAGUGUCGUGAUGGUCUCCAAGCGGCCUCCCCGCAGCUUCAGCGUGCUGGGACUGGUUCGCCGGCCUGGAAAUUUCGACGGUUUGAAUGAUGAGGAUCUGCACCUCCUGGACGCGAUCGCCAUGGCGGGCGGCCGCACGAUGGAAAUUGCUGACAAGGUACGCGUCUAUCGCCAGAUCGAAGGACAAGAGACGCCGGUCGUGAUUGACGCUUCGUUCAAAGACGCCAUGGCCGGCGGCCCCGAUAACCUUCGCCUGGCGCCGGGAGACGUCGUCAGCGUGGAGGACACUCCGCUCACCAUGGCUUUAACGGCGAUCAGGAGCUUUGCGCGAUUCAGCGUCGGCGCGACUGCUCGGGUCCCGGGCUUCUAAACUUUGCGUAUGACCCACAACGUAUGAUGCGCGAUCCUGGGGAAACUUCGCCCGACCUUUCGGCGCCCAGCGCCGAAAGGUCGGG